GGGGGGAAUAUUGCACAAUGGACGAAAGCCUGAUGCAGCAACGCCGCGUGAGGGAAGACGGUUUUCGGAUUGUAAACCUCUGUUUUCGGUGACGAACAAAUGACGGUAACCGAGUAGGAAGCCACGGCUAACUACGUGCCAGCAGCCGCGGUAAUACGUAGGUGGCAAGCGUUAUCCGGAAUUACUGGGUGUAAAGGAAGCGCAGGCAGGAUAGCAAGUCAGCUGUGAAAACUAUGGGCUCAACCCAUAA
RNAcentral lists this ribosomal RNA (250 nucleotides) under uncultured bacterium. Its description in RNAcentral is "partial 16S ribosomal RNA". It matches the Rfam family "Bacterial small subunit ribosomal RNA", at positions 354 to 619 of the family's 1533-position model. The record is from RNAcentral.